UACGAAGGGGGCUAGCGUUGCUCGGAAUCACUGGGCGUAAAGGGUGCGUAGGCGGGUCUUUAAGUCAGGGGUGAAAUCCUGGAGCUCAACUCCAGAACUGCCUUUGAUACUGGCGAUCUCGAGUCCGGGAGAGGUGAGUGGAACUCCGAGUGUAGAGGUGAAAUUCGUAGAUAUUCGGAAGAACACCAGUGGCGAAGGCGGCUCACUGGCCCGGUACUGACGCUGAGGUGCGAAGGCGUGGGGAGCAAACAGG
This 253-nucleotide ribosomal RNA is filed under the name uncultured bacterium. Its description in RNAcentral is "partial 16S ribosomal RNA". It matches the Rfam family "Bacterial small subunit ribosomal RNA", at positions 524 to 776 of the family's 1533-position model. The record is from RNAcentral.